RNAcentral lists this ribosomal RNA (208 nucleotides) under uncultured bacterium. Its description in RNAcentral is "partial 16S ribosomal RNA". It matches the Rfam family "Bacterial small subunit ribosomal RNA", at positions 568 to 774 of the family's 1533-position model. The record is from RNAcentral.
CACGUAGGCGGAUCGGUAAGUCAGAUGUGAAAUCCCGGAGCUCAACUCCGGAACUGCAUUUGAUACUGCCAGUCUUGAGUGAGGUAGAGGGGGGUGGAAUUCCCGGUGUAGAGGUGAAAUUCGUAGAUAUCGGGAGGAACACCAGAAGGCGAAGGCGACCCCCUGGGCCUUUACUGACGCUGAGGUGCGAAAGCGUGGGGAGCAAACA